Molecule: ribosomal RNA, 253 nt
Filed under: uncultured bacterium
Lineage: Bacteria
Description: partial 16S ribosomal RNA
Rfam family: Bacterial small subunit ribosomal RNA
Source: RNAcentral
UACGUAGGGUGCAAGCGUUGUCCGGAAUUACUGGGCGUAAAGCGCACGUAGGCGGAUUGUUAAGUCGGGGGUGAAAUCCCGGGGCUCAACCCCGGAACUGCCUUCGAUACUGGCGAUCUCGAGUCCGGAAGAGGUUAGUGGAAUUCCCAGUGUAGAGGUGAAAUUCGUAGAUAUUGGGAAGAACACCAGUGGCGAAGGCGGCUAACUGGUCCGGUACUGACGCUGAGGUGCGAAAGCGUGGGGAGCAAACAGG